Molecule: ribosomal RNA, 881 nt
Filed under: uncultured Bacteroidota bacterium
Lineage: Bacteria; Pseudomonadati; Bacteroidota
Description: bacterial SSU rRNA
Rfam family: Bacterial small subunit ribosomal RNA
Source: RNAcentral
UGGAUCCAGACUUUGAUCAUGGCUCAGGAUGAACGCUAGCGACAGGCUUAACACAUGCAAGUCGAGGGGCAGCGGGGAUGUAGCAAUACAUCCGCCGGCGACCGGCGCACGGGUGAGUAACACGUAUGCAAUCUGCCCCCGGCAGGGGAAUAAGCCGGAGAAAUCCGGUCUAAUACCGCGUAACAUUCUCGGGAGACAUCUCCUGAGGAUCAAAGGAAGCAAUUCCGGCCGGGGAUGAGCAUGCGGCGCAUUAGCUGGUUGGCGGGGUAACGGCCCACCAAGGCGACGAUGCGUAGGGGUUCUGAGAGGAAGGUCCCCCACACUGGUACUGAGACACGGACCAGACUCCUACGGGAGGCAGCAGUGAGGAAUAUUGGUCAAUGGGCGGGAGCCUGAACCAGCCAAGUCGCGUGAGGGAAGACGGUCCUAAGGAUUGUAAACCUCUUUUGUCGGGGAGCAAAGGCGCCUACGAGUAGGCGGAUGAGAGUACCCGAAGAAAAAGCAUCGGCUAACUCCGUGCCAGCAGCCGCGGUAAUACGGAGGAUGCGAGCGUUAUCCGGAUUUAUUGGGUUUAAAGGGUGCGUAGGCGGGGUGUUAAGUCAGCGGUAAAAUUGAGGGGCUCAACCCCUUCGAGCCGUUGAAACUGGCAUUCUUGAGUGAAUGAGAAGUAUGCGGAAUGCGUGGUGUAGCGGUGAAAUGCAUAGAUAUCACGCAGAACUCCGAUUGCGAAGGCAGCAUACCGGCAUUCAACUGACGCUGAAGCACGAAAGCGUGGGGAUCAAACAGGAUUAGAUACCCUGGUAGUCCACGCAGUAAACGAUGAAUGCUAAUUGUCCGGGACGAAUGAGUUCUGGGUGAUAAAGCGAAAGCGUUAAGCAUCC